AAGCAUCUGAAAUCAGAAGCCAUUCUAAGAAAAAAGGGAAAAAGAAAGUACAGUGGGAAACAGGCGAAUCAACGGCUCACUGUAAAGGGAAAACCUGGACUGACAUUGAUUCACAGAAAGCCAACAACAAGCUUAUGAAAAUAUGGGAUCAGGAAACGGCAACAAAUUACAUUAAAGCCCGAGUUUAUGGUUAUAAAGUCAGUGAUGCUGAUCUCAUGUCUCUAAAAAGUCCAAAGUGGUUGACAGAUCAGGUACUUGAUGCAUACCUGUCAUAUCUAGCUCAGAAAGUGGGAUAAGGGGAAAAAAGUAAAGCAUAUGAGUGUAUCCAAGAUAACCAGUAUCAUCAAUGAUCAUGUUCAGUCUUCAGAAAAAAAGGUUUUUUAAAUAAUCUUAAUCUAAUUUCUUUUGUGCAAAACAUUGCAAAAAUGAGCAAUUUUAUGUUUGAGUUUUAUAAGUAAAAAAUCAGAGAGUCACCAUUU
Long non-coding RNA from Saccostrea cuccullata (small rock oyster), 479 nucleotides. RefSeq lists it as uncharacterized. The transcript is spliced from 3 exons. The record is from RefSeq and is a predicted model, not a curated record. Lineage: Eukaryota; Metazoa; Mollusca; Bivalvia; Ostreida; Ostreidae.